RNA transcript from Ictidomys tridecemlineatus (thirteen-lined ground squirrel), 5216 nucleotides. It is a transcript of the gene named adaptor protein, phosphotyrosine interacting with PH domain and leucine zipper 2, with no coding region annotated. Lineage: Eukaryota; Metazoa; Chordata; Mammalia; Rodentia; Sciuridae. The record is from RefSeq and is a predicted model, not a curated record.
UGGCAGGCGUCGGCGGUCACUGGCCAGGCGUGGGCGCGCGCGGGGCUGCCGCGGGCACUGAGAGUCGGCUGAGUAGCCUGAGCCCGGAGCACCUCGGCUGCCGCCUCGCGCCCUGCGUCCUUCCAUCCGCCCUGACCCAGCCAUGCCCGCGGUGGACAAGCUCCUGCUGGAGGAGGCGUUGCAGGACAGCCCCCAGACUCGCUCUUUACUGAGUGUGUUUGAAGAAGAUGCCGGCACCCUCACCGACUACACCAACCAGCUGCUGCAGGCCAUGCAGCGCGUCUUCGGAGCCCAGAAUGAAAUGUGUUUGGCCACCCAACAACUUUCCAAGCAGCUGCUGGCGUAUGAAAAGCAGAAUUUCGCUCUUGGCAAAGGUGAUGAAGAGGUAAUUUCUACACUCCAUUAUUUUUCUGAAGUGGUGGAUAAGCUUAAUGUCCUCCAUACAGAGCUGGCCAAACAGCUGGCAGACGCCAUGGUCCUACCUAUUGUACAAUUUCGAGAAAAGGAUCUCACAGAAGUAAGCACUUUGAAGGAACUUUUCGGACUCGCCAGCAGUGAGCAUGACCUCUCAAUGGCAAAAUACAGCAGGCUCCCUAAAAAAAAGGAGAAUGAAAAGGUAAAGACUGAAGUUGUGAAGGAGGUGGCAGCUGCACGGCGGAAGCAGCACCUGGCGUCCCUCCAGUACUACUCCGCCCUCAAUGCACUGCAGUACCGGAAGCGGAUGGCCAUGAUGGAGCCCAUGAUAGGCUUCGCCCAUGGACAGAUUAACUUUUUUAAGAAGGGAGCAGAGAUGUUUUCCAAAAGCAUGGACAGCUUUCUAUCCUCUGUUGCAGACAUGGUUCAGAGCAUUCAGGUGGAACUGGAAGCUGAAGCAGAAAAGAUGCGGAUAUCUCAGCAAGAAUUGCUAUCUGUUGAUGAAUCUGUCUACACGCCAGACUUCGAUGUGGCUGCACCCCAGGUCAACAGGAACCUCAUCCAGAAGGCUGGUUACCUUAACCUUAGAAACAAGACGGGGCUGGUCACCACCACCUGGGAGAGACUUUACUUCUUCACCCAAGGCGGGAAUCUCAUGUGUCAGCCCAGGGGAGCUGUGGCUGGAGGUCUGAUCCAGGACCUGGACAACUGCUCAGUGAUGGCGGUGGAUUGCGAAGACCGACGAUACUGCUUCCAGAUCACCACUCCCAGCGGAAAACCGGGAAUAAUCCUCCAGGCAGAGAGCAGAAAAGAAAAUGAAGAGUGGAUAUGUGCAAUAAACAACAUCUCCAGACAGAUCUACCUGACCGACAACCCUGAGGCAGUCGCCAUCAAGUUGAAUCAGACGGCUCUCCAGGCUGUGACUCCAUUUACAAGUUUUGGGAAAAAACAAGAAAGCUCCUGCCUCAGCCAGAACUUGAAAAAUUCAGAAACAGAAAAUGACAAGAUUGUUCCCAAAGCAAAAGUCAGUAUUCCUGAAGCAGAAGAACUGAUCGCACCUGGGACGCCUAUUCAGUUUGAUAUUGUACUUCCUGCCACAGAAUUCCUGGAUCAGAACAGAGGGAGCAGGCGGAUCAACCCUUUUGGUGAAACUGAAGAUGAGUCAUUUCCGGAAGCAGAAGAUUCUCUUUUGCAACAGAUGUUUAUAGUUCGUUUUUUGGGGUCAAUGGCAGUUAAAACAGACAGCACUACCGAAGUGAUCUAUGAAGCAAUGAGACAAGUGUUAGCAGCUCGGGCUAUUCAUAACAUCUUCCGAAUGACAGAGUCUCAUCUGAUGGUCACCAGUCAAACUCUGAGGUUGAUAGAUCCUCAGACUCAGGUGUCAAGGGCCAACUUUGAACUUACCAGUGUCACACAGUUUGCUGCUCAUCAAGAAAACAAAAGACUGGUUGGCUUUGUCAUCCGAAUUCCAGAGUCCACAGGAGAAGAGUCUCUCAGCACGUACAUUUUUGAAAGCAACUCAGAAGGCGAAAAGAUAUGUUAUGCUAUUAAUUUGGGAAAAGAAAUUAUUGAGGUUCAAAAGGAUCCAGAAGCACUGGCUCAAUUAAUGCUGUCUAUACCACUAACCAAUGAUGGAAAAUAUGUACUGUUAAAUGAUCAAUCAGAUGACAAUGAUGGAAAUCCAAGUGAAAAUAGAAGCGCAGAAUCUGAAGCGUGACUCACUGGGGCCUGUGGGGGAAGCGCGCACAGGAAGGAAAGCUACCUCCUUAAGGGUUUUCAACUUCUCUGAUGUAUAGGCACACUGACCUGGCUUCAGAAUGCUGACAAUCGUUUGUGGAAUGUGCCCUUUGAUGCCUUGAUACUGAGACUUGGGAGGGAAACAGUUAAGAAAAGGGUGACAGCCUUCCUACCCAUCUACAAAUGUUAUUUUAGGUGCCUUGUGGUUCUGAAUAUACUCACUAGAGGAGGAACAAUGAUAUAGAAAUUUCGGAGAUGUAUAUUCUUUGGCCUUCGAAAUUCUGGAGCAAAAACAUCUACAAGCAUUUUGAAAUAUUCUGUGCCUUCAGCAGAAUUUCGUGUAUGAUCACUGAGGACCGAGUCCAAAUGCCUAAAAACCAAACAAACAAAAAUGUGUUUCCUCUUUUAAAUAAGGUGUGGCCUUUAAAAAACAGUGUGUGCUUUUAGAUAAAAGCACUCAUAAGCAGGAAACAUUAUACAAUUUCUAUAUAAGUUUUCUUGGAGUUCACAAUGAAAUAAUUUUCUUAUGGACAGAAACUAAUUAGAAUCAUCUAGUUAACUUAAUUAUUAAAACAGAAUAGAGCAUCCGGGGACUUAAAAUGAUAAGGUUCUGUAUUUCUUUUCCCCACAAUGAGCCCUGUACAACAUCUCAUUGUAAGUAAAGUCUUCAUUUUAAGUCUCUUCACUAGUCCUUCCUCUACAUCUCCUUACCUCAACUUAAACCUGGCCUUCUUUCAAGAAGCUUUUCUUUCAAUCUUCAGAAAUAUUAGCUGCUUUUCCUCCUGAAAUCCUCAUGUAUACUACUUCUACAUGUUAUUCCUCCACCAGAGGAAGGCAGAAAUCUCUCCUUUAAUCCAACUACAUGAUCCAACUACAGAUGCUCCUCAACCUACAAUGGGUUUGCAUCCUGAUAAAUCCACAGUAAAUUGAAAAUAAAAUAAAAUAAAAAUGUGUGUACACACGUAGCCAACUGAACAUGACAGCCUAGCAAUGCAGUAUACUGGAGUAUAUCAGUUGUUUCGCUUUCUGAUUGUGAGGCUGACAGGGAGCUAUAACUCACUGUUCUGCUCUGAAUCGCACAAGAAGUUCAUAAUGCAAAUUGCUAGCCCAAAAAGAGAUCCAAAUCCAAGACAUACAGGAGCUAGGGAUGCAGUUUAGUGGUAAAGUACUUGCCUUGAAAGCACCAGGUACUAGCAAGCACCAGCCCUAAGCUUGAUCUCAGCACCACAAAAACAUAAAUCAAAAUAAUCAAAGUAUAAUUUCUACUGAAUGCUUUAUCAUUUUCACACCAUCCUAAAAUUGAAAAAAGAGUAAAGUUGAAAGUAAAAUAAAAUGGUAAGUUGAGCCAUUAUAAAUCAGUGGUCAUCUGUAUAUUCAUCUACUCUUUUGGAAAGCAAGCAUCUACCAACUUUUAGCCCCUACCCUAACCUAGGACUAGGAUGCCUUCCCCAGUUCUCUACUGUUUAUGUGGAUAAUUUACUCAUUACCAUGACCCCACAACUCUUGGAUUUCAUCUGCCAUGACAUUUCUUCACUUACUAUUAACCAUUCUCUCCCUUGCACAAAUGUGGAUCUUUCAGUUAGCAAUCAGCUUUACCCUAGAUAUCUUAAAAACCAAUAUCCUACUGUAACUUCCUUUGGCUUCUUCAAAGUAUUUUUUAAACAGUCCCCAAUUUUGAAGAAAAUGAUGACAUUUAAGAGGAGAUAAAUGGUGCAAUUUUCUUUCUUUGGUAUGCAAGCCGCAACCAUUUUAAUCAUUUUCAUGACUUCAAAUGACUUUAAUACCUGUCUUCUGAAAUCUAGUAAAGCACACUAUGCUAUCCAGUAGGAUACUGCAGAACAAAGCUUCUGUGUUCAGGUCAUGUUUUCAUUAAAAUGUACACAUAUAUUUUCUGGUAUAUUUUAAUAUUUUUAUUUUUAAAAAUAUCAAGCCUAUAAAAAAAUUAAAAUAUAGUAUAAUGAACCCUGAAUGCCCUUAAUUAGAUUCACACUUCUUCACAAUUUGCUAGUUUUCUCUAUUUUUCAGAAACAUUUCAAAAUUGCAAACCUCAUGUCACUUAGCACAUAAAUACUUCAGCAUUACUCUAUUAGAAUAAAGACAUUUCCCUAGAAAGCCACAUCAGUACACCCAAGAAUAAAAUAUAACAUUAUCUAAUACACAACCCAUUUUUCAAAUCUCCCCAAUCAUUCCCCAAAUGUCCUUUAUAGAUAAAUGUUUUCUUUACCUGGAUUAUGAUUAAGGACAACCCCAUUACAUUUGGUUAUCAGGUCUCUUUAUUCUCCUAAUCUAGACAGCCUCUUUGCCUUUUUGGUCUUUCAUGACAUCUGACAUUUUUUAAGAGUCUAGGCCAGGUAUUUCACAGAACGCCCCACAUUCUGGAUUUCUCACAUUGCUUCUUCCUAAUAAAUUCAGAGAAACACUCCUAGGAAGAAUAUAAACUAGGUGCUUUUCAUUACAUUACAUCAGGAGGCCAUAUAAUAUCAGUCUGUCCCAUUACCAAUGUGCUGUUUUAUCACUUGAUUAACGUUGUAGACAUCUCUUCUACAUUGCAGAUAGCUUUUCCCUGUGUGAUUAAUAAGCAAUUUUGUGGGAUGAUUUUUGAAAAUGAGUUCUCUGGUUUCCAAAAACUUUUCACCCAACAUUUAAGUGUUAUAAUUGCAAAAUGUGAUGUUUUUUCCCCUUAAUUUUCUCAUCUGCUUUAUGUUAGCUGCCAUUCUUUUGUUAAAAGAAAAAAACAACUCUGUUUUAACCUUUCUUAUUAUCACUGUAACUCAUAGUUUUUUUUAUUCAAUGUUUUAUGACCUAUUUCUAUCAUUACUCUUUUUUUUUUAAGCUGUAGAUGGACACAAUACUUUUAUUUUGUUUAUUUUUAUGUGGUGCCAGGGAUGGAACCCAGUGCCUUACGCGUGGCGAGGUAAGCGCUCUACCAAUGAGCUGCAACCCCAGCUCCCCAUUACUCUUUUUGACAUUCAAACUGUCUCCACUUUGUUCAGAGUGCCCCUUCAUAUCUGUUUCAAUAAAGUGCUAUAAAUAUUAAAAAUAAAAUCUAUAAUUUUCUAAACAAA